AAUAAGCGCAGCCAUAAGUUUUCGCGCUCAACUUUAAUCGUCCGUCUUAUUUAAAAUUUUUUUAUAAUUAACAUUUUUGUUGUUAUAAGAUGAUAAAAUAUGAAUAGUACUUUACUCGUGACUUAUGUCUUUAGUUUUUUUUUAAAAAAAUUUUAAAUAAGACGAAUGGUCAAGGUUGGACGCGGAAAACUAUGACUGUACUUAUU
This is a non-coding RNA of Oryza glumipatula, 206 nucleotides long. The record is from Rfam. Lineage: Eukaryota; Viridiplantae; Streptophyta; Magnoliopsida; Poales; Poaceae.